UCCGUAGGUGAACCUGCGGAGGGAUCAUUAAAGAGUUGCAAAACUCCCUAAAACCCCUGUGAACUUAUCCUUGAGCGUUGCUUCGGCGGGCAGCCCCUCCCUGGGGCCGCAGCCCAAUCCCCCUUCGGGGGGGUGCGGGCGCCCGCCGGAGGUAUUAAACUCUUCUGUAUUUUAGUGGCAUCUCUGAGUUAGCAAGUAAUAAGUCAAAACUUUCAGCAACGGAUCUCUUGGUUCUGGCAUCGAUGAAGAACGCAGCGAAAUGCGAUAAGUAAUGUGAAUUGCAGAAUUCAGUGAAUCAUCGAAUAUUUGAACGCACAUUGCGCCCCUUGGUAUUCCGGGGGGCAUGCCUGUUCGAGCGUCAUUAUAACCCUCAAGCCUAGCUUGGUGUUGGAGCAUGCUACCUAGCAGCUCUUAAAAUCAGUGGCAGUGCCCUUCGGCUCUAAGCGUAGUAACUUCUCUCGCUAUGGAAACCGGAUGGUACGCGCCAAAACCCCUAACUUUCUAUGGUUGACCUCGGAUCAGGUAGGGAUACCCGCUGAACUUAAGCAUAUCAAUAAGCGGAGGA
Molecule: ribosomal RNA, 565 nt
Filed under: uncultured fungus
Lineage: Eukaryota; Fungi
Description: eukaryotic LSU rRNA
Rfam family: 5.8S ribosomal RNA (bases 208-361)
Source: RNAcentral